UACGGAGGGUGCAAGCGUUAUCCGGAUUCACUGGGUUUAAAGGGUGCGUAGGCGGAUUUGUAAGUCCGUGGUGAAAUCUCCGAGCUUAACUUGGGAACUGCCGUGGAUACUAUCAAUCUUGAAUAUCGUGGAGGUAAGCGGAAUAUGUCAUGUAGCGGUGAAAUGCUUAGAUAUGACAUAGAACACCGAUAGCGGAGGCAGCUUGCUACACGAUCAUUGACACUGAGGCACGAAAGCGUGGGGAGCAAACAGG
This 253-nucleotide ribosomal RNA is filed under the name uncultured bacterium. Its description in RNAcentral is "partial 16S ribosomal RNA". It matches the Rfam family "Bacterial small subunit ribosomal RNA", at positions 524 to 776 of the family's 1533-position model. The record is from RNAcentral.